Molecule: ribosomal RNA, 352 nt
Filed under: Limosilactobacillus fermentum
Lineage: Bacteria; Bacillati; Bacillota; Bacilli; Lactobacillales; Lactobacillaceae
Description: Lactobacillus fermentum partial 16S ribosomal RNA
Rfam family: Bacterial small subunit ribosomal RNA
Source: RNAcentral
CGAACGCGUUGSCCAAUUGAUUGAUGRUGCUUGCMCYKRWUUGAUUUUGGUCGCCAACGAGUGGCGGACGGGUGAGUAACACGUAGGUAACCUGCCCAGAAGCGGGGGACAACAUUUGGAAACAGAUGCUAAUACCGCAUAACAACGUUGUUCGCAUGAACAACGCUUAAAAGAUGGCUUCUCGCUAUCACUUCUGGAUGGACCUGCGGUGCAUUAGCUUGUUGGUGGGGUAAYGGCCUACCAAGGCGAUGAUGCAUAGCCGAGUUGAGAGACUGAUCGGCCACAAUGGGACUGAGACACGGCCCAUACUCCUACGGGAGGCAGCAGUAGGGAAUCUUCCACAAUGGGCGCA